Molecule: ribosomal RNA, 447 nt
Filed under: uncultured bacterium
Lineage: Bacteria
Description: bacterial SSU rRNA
Rfam family: Bacterial small subunit ribosomal RNA
Source: RNAcentral
CGCCAGACUCCUACGGAGGCAGCAGUGGGGGAUAUUGCACAAUGGGGGAAACCCUGAUGCAGCGACGCCGCGUGUGGGAAGACGGUCCUCUGGAUUGUAAACCACUGUCCCCAGGGACGAAGAUGACGGUACCUGGGGAGGAAGCUCCGGCUAACUACGUGCCAGCAGCCGCGGUAAUACGUAGGGAGCGAGCGUUGUCCGGAAUUACUGGGUGUAAAGGGAGCGUAGGCGGGACUGCAAGUUGGGUGUCAAAUCUACCGGCUCAACCGGUAGCCGCACUCAAAACUGCAGUUCUUGAGUGAAGUAGAGGCAGGCGGAAUUCCUAGUGUAGCGGUGAAAUGCGUAGAUAUUAGGAGGAACACCAGUGGCGAAGGCGACUAUCUGGCACAUAACUGACGCUGAGGAGCGAAAGCGUGGGUAGCAAACAGGAUUAGAUACCCCGGUAUG